This 253-nucleotide ribosomal RNA is filed under the name uncultured bacterium. RNAcentral's name for it is "partial 16S ribosomal RNA". It matches the Rfam family "Bacterial small subunit ribosomal RNA", at positions 524 to 776 of the family's 1533-position model. The record is from RNAcentral.
UACGGAGGGUGCGAGCGUUGUCCGGAAUCACUGGGCGUAAAGGGCGCGUAGGCGGCUGGGGAAGUCGGCGGUGAAAGCCCGGAGCUCAACUCCGGGUCGGCCGUCGAGACUCCUCGGCUCGAGCUCACUAGAGGCAGAUGGAAUUCCGGGUGUAGCGGUGGAAUGCGUAGAGAUCCGGAAGAACACCGGUGGCGAAGGCGGUCUGCUGGGGUGGAGCUGACGCUGAGGCGCGACAGCGUGGGGAGCAAACAGG